CAGAGUAAGGCCAGCGCGUCAAGUGCCGCCGGAUGGGAUGUUGCCGACGGACGAAGAGACAUUGAUAUCGGAUAUGUCUCGCGGUGCUGUGUCUGCGUCCGCUGC
This 105-nucleotide non-coding RNA is filed under the name human gut metagenome. RNAcentral describes it as "THF riboswitch". It matches the Rfam family "THF (Tetrahydrofolate) riboswitch aptamer". From Rfam's summary of the family: THF riboswitch presents a pseudoknot that joins P1-P2 and the loop of P3 and two THF binding. The record is from RNAcentral. RNAcentral also lists the same sequence under 1 other name.